Molecule: ribosomal RNA, 119 nt
Filed under: Lepisosteus oculatus (spotted gar)
Lineage: Eukaryota; Metazoa; Chordata; Actinopteri; Semionotiformes; Lepisosteidae
Source: RNAcentral
UAGAUCUGCCAUUUCACCCUGCAACUCACAGCUAGCAGCCUACUGAAGCUAAGCAGGUGUGAGCCUGGUCAGUACCUGGAUGGGAGACCUCCUGGGAAAAACUAAGGUUGCUGCUGGAA